CGCCGAUUGGAGGCUCUCGGAUCUCACCUCCUCGCGUGGCUCGGCCGGAUCGACGAACACUCUCAAAGGGAUCUCUCUUUGGAUUCGUGAGGGUUCAAUCGUUCUUUCGGAGGCUCCUUCUCCGUCGAAGCUUGGGUCGAAGGUUUUCUUCCAUUAGCAGGCGAUCGGAGAUCGAGCGCCGGCAGUUGGGGAUCGCUAGGGAAAUCUGUUCUUUCUCUCUGUUCGAGUUCUCGCUCUCUCUGUUCGAGCGGUCCGGAUUUUUUUUUCUCUCAGCUCGAGGUCUCUCAAUCGGAUGUUUCUCUCGCUGGAUCCGGCUUCGGAAGCUUUGGAUUAGGUGUUCUCCGACUCUUUCUCGGAGAUUUGACGCUCGCUCGCUCAAUCAGGUUCGCCAUCUCUCUCUCGAUCGCUCUAUCUCACGCUUAGCCUGUCGCUCGCUUUCUCUCUCUGUUUUCCCCUAUCAAUUGCCUACUAUUGAAGUUCAUUUGCUGUGAGAAACAAGCCACUAAAUCUAGGAGCUGAAUCUGGGAAUUUUGACUUCAAUUCUUCAAUGAUAAUUUCUGGCAUGAUCUAUGUUUGUUCUCUAAUCAUACGUUGUCUUGAAUAUAUUGAUAUAAUCUACUGAGGUUAAUGAAUUUCUGUGGAUUGAUGAUCAAUGAUCAUGAACUUGAAGUUGAUUGAACUUGAUUUGCCUUGGUAUGUCACUUUCUGUUUUAGCUUAAAUGAGGUGAUAGAUGAGGCUUUCUGGUCUUGAGCCCUUUUAGACAUAGAAAAUAGACUUCUCAAGCUUUGAUUUGAUAUGUUGCAUGCCCUGAACGGACGUCAUUCGGUCAUUGAAAAACACCUACAAAAUCUGUCAAUUCUGCAGUAGUUUUUUAGGUUGAUUUGCUGUUUUGACCUACUGCAAUUUUCUGUUUUAACUGGAUCGAGCUGGAAGAUGAUGUUAUUAGGACUUAAUGUCUUCUAGAGAUUUGUAAUAGGCUUCUCAAACUUUCCAUUGACAUAUUAUAUGUGCGAUUUGGUCAUCAUUU
RNAcentral lists this long non-coding RNA (1028 nucleotides) under Eucalyptus grandis. RNAcentral's name for it is "long non-coding RNA (EGRA_LNC007879)". Lineage: Eukaryota; Viridiplantae; Streptophyta; Magnoliopsida; Myrtales; Myrtaceae. The record is from RNAcentral.